This 393-nucleotide ribosomal RNA is filed under the name uncultured bacterium. Its description in RNAcentral is "partial 16S ribosomal RNA". It matches the Rfam family "Bacterial small subunit ribosomal RNA", at positions 523 to 918 of the family's 1533-position model. The record is from RNAcentral.
AUACGGAGGAUCCGAGCGUUAUCCGGAUUUAUUGGGUUUAAAGGGUGCGCAGGCGGGAGAUUAAGUCGGCGGUGAAAUUUUGCAGCUCAACUGUAAAAGUGCCUUCGAAACUGGUUUCCUUGAGUGGAGAUGAAGUAGGCGGAAUUUUUGGUGUAGCGGUGAAAUGCAUAGAUAUCACGAGGAACUCCGAUUGCGCAGGCAGCUUACUAAACUACUACUGACGCUCAGGCACGAAGGCGUGGGGAUCAAACAGGAUUAGAUACCCUGGUAGUCCACGCAGUAAACGAUGAUUACUAGCUGUUUGCGAUACAAUGUAAGCGGCUGAGCGAAAGCGUUAAGUAAUCCACCUGGGGAGUACGUUCGCAAGAAUGAAACUCAAAUGAAUUGACGGGG